This 470-nucleotide ribosomal RNA is filed under the name uncultured bacterium. Its description in RNAcentral is "bacterial SSU rRNA". It matches the Rfam family "Bacterial small subunit ribosomal RNA", at positions 29 to 491 of the family's 1533-position model. The record is from RNAcentral.
ACGAACGUUAGCGGUGUGACUUAGGCAUGCAAGUCGAGCGCGAAAGUCUUCGGACGAGUAAAGCGGCGAAAGGGUGAGUAACACGUAACCAACCUGCCCCAGAGAUCGGGAUAACCGCUGGAAACGGCGGGUAAGACCGAAUGGUCCCCUGUGCGGCAUCGCAUGGCGGGUAAACGGCGGCGUAAGCUGCUGUUCCGGGAGGGGGUUGCGGGCUAUCAGCUAGUUGGUGGGGUAACGGCCUACCAAGGCGAUGACGGCUACCGGGUCUGAGAGGACGGUCCGGCACACUGGGACUGAGACACUGCCCAGACUCCUACGGGAGGCUGCAGUCGUGAAUCUUCCGCAAUGGGCGAAAGCCUGACGGAGCGACACCGCGUGCAGGAUGAAGGCCUUCGGGUUGUAAACUGCUGUCAGGUUCUAGGAACCUCCAGGUGUGAAUAUCAGCUGGAGUGACCAAGACCAAAGGAAGC